AGUAAUGUAUGGGGAUCUGCCCAAUAGAGGGGGAUAGCUACUGGAAACGGUGGCUAAUACCGCAUAAUGUCUACGGACCAAAGCAGGGGCUCUUCGGACCUUGCACUAUCGGAUGAACCCAUAUGGGAUUAGCUAGUAGGUGGGGUAAAGGCUCACCUAGGCGACGAUCUCUAGCUGGUCUGAGAGGAUGAUCAGCCACACUGGGACUGAGACACGGCCCAGACUCCUACGGGAGGCAGCAUG
Molecule: ribosomal RNA, 243 nt
Filed under: uncultured bacterium
Lineage: Bacteria
Description: partial 16S ribosomal RNA
Rfam family: Bacterial small subunit ribosomal RNA
Source: RNAcentral